RNAcentral lists this ribosomal RNA (1309 nucleotides) under Longpotamon parvum. RNAcentral's name for it is "16S ribosomal RNA". The stretch from base 619 to 1309 matches the Rfam family "Archaeal large subunit ribosomal RNA", at positions 1423 to 2790 of the family's 2987-position model. The record is from RNAcentral. Lineage: Eukaryota; Metazoa; Arthropoda; Malacostraca; Decapoda; Potamidae.
UUUUUAUACCUUGUCAAUUGUAUUGUAAUGGAAAGAAUUUAUAUUUGAAAAAUAAUUUAUUAGGGUAAUUAAUAGUAAUUUUUAAUGAAUAAAGAUUUAAAUGACUAUAGUUAAGAGUACUGUGAAGGAAGGAUUUAAUUUAAUUAAAAGAAAUAAAGUAGGAAUUUAUUUUUGUACCUUGUGUAUCAGGGAAAAUUAAUAUAUUAUUAAGUAUUAAUUAAAGAUCUCGAAAUAAAAAUAGCUAAUCUUAUAAGAAAGUUUUUGUUGCAUAAAAAUUUUUAAUGUGAGAUUAGAAGUGAAAUGUUAAUCGAGUUUUAUAAUAUCUAGUUCUCUAUGAAAUAAAUAUAAUUUAGGUUUUAUAGGUAAGUAUAAUAUAAGGAAAAAAAAUAGAAGGGAAAAGCUUUUUAUUAAAAAAUAGCUUAAAUAAAAUAAAUAAAUUUAUCUAGGCUUAAAAGUAGCUAUGUUUGUAAAGUGUUUUAAUUAAAACCACGAUUAAUAUUAUUUUUAUAGGAGCUUUAAUAUGUAUUAGAGAUUUGUUUUGAAUUUUAUGUAACAAGAUAAGAUAAUUUUAUUAGUAGAAGUUAUAUAUUUAGAGAAGGAAGAUGGAAUAAUGAAGAAGAUAUUUCAAUAAUUAGGUGAAAUAGAGGAAUUCGGCAAGUAUUUUCUUUGCCUGUUUAUCAAAAACAUGUUUGUUUGGAGAUAUAAAGAAUUUGACCUGCCCCCUGAUUAACAAUUAAAGGGCCGCAGUAUUAUAACUGUGCAAAGGUAGCAUAAUCAUUAGGUUUUUAAUUGGGAUCUUGUAUGAAUGGUUGGACAAAAGAAAGACUCUCUUUAUAUUAAAUUUUGAAUUUAACUUUUAAGUGAAAAGGCUUAAAUAUUCUAAAGGGACGAUAAGACCCUAUAAAACUUUACAUUGUGGUUAAUUUUUGGUUGAAUUUGUAAAAUAAGAAUUUUAUUUAAUUAUUUGUUGUGUUGGGGAGACAUAAGUAAAAUAAUAUUUUAACUGCUUAAUAAUUAUACAAUUAUCAAUGAGUAAAUAGAAGAUCCUUUUUAAAGAUUAAUAGAUUAAGUUACUUUAGGGAUAACAGUGUAAUUUCUUUUGAGAGUUCUUAUCGAAAAAGGAGAUUGCGACCUCGAUGUUGAAUUAAAAUAUCUAUGUAAUGGAGAGGUUAUAUAAGAAGGUCUGUUCGACCUUGAAAUUUUUACAUGAUUUGAGUUCAGACCGGUGUAAGCCAGGUUGGUUUCUAUCUUUUAGAUUGAAGUGAUUAUUUUAGUACGAAAGGAGUAAAUAGUCAAAAUAGUUUUUAAG